UUAACACAUGCAAGUCGAGGGGCAGCAUGGUCUUAGCUUGCUAAGGCCGAUGGCGACCGGCGCACGGGUGAGUAACACGUAUCCAACCUGCCGUCUACUCUUGGACAGCCUUCUGAAAGGAAGAUUAAUACAAGAUGGCAUCAUGAGUCCGCAUGUUCACAUGAUUAAAGGUAUUCCGGUAGACGAUGGGGAUGCGUUCCAUUAGAUAGUAGGCGGGGUAACGGCCCACCUAGUCUUCGAUGGAUAGGGGUUCUGAGAGGAAGGUCCCCCACAUUGGAACUGAGACACGGUCCAAACUCCUACGGGAGGCAGCAGUGAGGAAUAUUGGUCAAUGGGCGAGAGCCUGAACCAGCCAAGUAGCGUGAAGGAUGACUGCCCUAUGGGUUGUAAACUUCUUUUAUAAAGGAAUAAAGUCGGGUAUGGAUACCCGUUUGCAUGUACUUUAUGAAUAAGGAUCGGCUAACUCCGUGCCAGCAGCCGCGGUAAUACGGAGGAUCCGAGCGUUAUCCGGAUUUAUUGGGUUUAAAGGGAGCGUAGAUGGAUGUUUAAGUCAGUUGUGAAAGUUUGCGGCUCAACCGUAAAAUUGCAGUUGAUACUGGAUAUCUUGAGUGCAGUUGAGGCAGGCGGAAUUCGUGGUGUAGCGGUGAAAUGCUUAGAUAUCACGAAGAACUCCGAUUGCGAAGGCAGCCUGCUAAGCUGCAACUGACAUUGAGGCUCGAAAGUGUGGGUAUCAAACAGGAUUAGAUACCCUGGUAGUCCACACGGUAAACGAUGAAUACUCGCUGUUUGCGAUAUACUGCAAGCGGCCAAGCGAAAGCGUUAAGUAUUCCACCUGGGGAGUACGCCGGCAACGGUGAAACUCAAAGGAAUUGACGGGGGCCCGCACAAGCGGAGGAACAUGUGGUUUAAUUCGAUGAUACGCGAGGAACCUUACCCGGGCUUAAAUUGCAGAUGAAUUACGGUGAAAGCCGUAAGCCGCAAGGCAUCUGUGAAGGUGCUGCAUGGUUGUCGUCAGCUCGUGCCGUGAGGUGUCGGCUUAAGUGCCAUAACGAGCGCAACCCUUGUUGUCAGUUACUAACAGGUCAUGCUGAGGACUCUGACAAGACUGCCAUCGUAAGAUGUGAGGAAGGUGGGGAUGACGUCAAAUCAGCACGGCCCUUACGUCCGGGGCUACACACGUGUUACAAUGGGGGGUACAGAGGGCCGCUACCACGCGAGUGGAUGCCAAUCCCAAAAACCUCUCUCAGUUCGGACUGGAGUCUGCAACCCGACUCCACGAAGCUGGAUUCGCUAGUAAUCGCGCAUCAGCCACGGCGCGGUGAAUACGUUCCCGGGCCUUGUACACACCGCCCGUCAAGCCAUGGGAGCCGGGGGUACCUGAAGUGCGUAACCGCGAGGAGCGCCCUAGGGUAAAACUGGUGACUGGGGCUAAGU
This 1434-nucleotide ribosomal RNA is filed under the name uncultured organism. RNAcentral describes it as "SSU rRNA". It matches the Rfam family "Bacterial small subunit ribosomal RNA". The record is from RNAcentral.